Corylus avellana is the source of this 2441-nucleotide non-coding RNA. The record is from RefSeq and is a predicted model, not a curated record. Lineage: Eukaryota; Viridiplantae; Streptophyta; Magnoliopsida; Fagales; Betulaceae.
CGUGAGGGAAAAUGUUAAAGUAAUGGUUAAGUGAUUAAAUUUACUUCUUCCUAUCAGCUUAGCUUUUGAGACGACUUGUAAUUUAACAAUCUAGAACCCAAGACUACAAUCUCUAUCUUGUGUGCUCAUGGGCCUAAAUUUUGAAUUCAGAAACUAAAUGAGAUGUCUGUGUUUUCAUCUGGUUUAUUCUCUUCUACUUUUUAACUGAUCAAGUUCUCUUUGAAUACCAUACCUCUUACAUCUUUGAUGUUGGAAUACUGUUCUUUAAAAUUAUAUGCAUUUUAGUCCAGAUUACGCUGUCUUUUAUGAAUGAAAUGGAGAGAGAUUAAAUAAAUAUGCUCUUCAGGGAAGAUGAAAGAAUUCGUGUUUGUUUGACCAUAUUAAAAUCAUAAUCUUCUUUGGUGCCAAUCUUCUUGAAUGUAUCUUUGGCUCCACAACGGCCGCCGCAGAUGGGAAGCAACUAGAUUUACCACCAUCACGUGAUGUAACUUCUCCUUUGGCUUAAAAAGCUUUUAACGUGAUGUUGAAGAGGAUAUUGAAGUGGCACAAAGACGGCAAUUGAUGUGAUGGGUGUUCUGGAUUUUUGUGGACGUAUUGGUCAGAGGUGCAAAAGGAAAUUAUGCUGCUGGUCUUUGGGAUCUUGAAUUUGACAUUUAUUGAAAUAGAGUCGUUUUUUUUUUAGAGAAUGAUAAUAUUGUAUAUGGAUAGUUAUGAUUCAUGAAAUGCAUUAAUAUUCUCAGGUAAUGUUGUAUGUGAUUAUGAAAUAUUGAGAAUAACCCUUGUAUAAAUUAUCUAAACCACAUAUUCUUUAUAAUUGUAAAAUAGAGUUCAUAACUAGUAUAAAAGUUGAAUGUUUUUUCUAAUAGGGCUAUAACAUAUAAGUUAUUAUUUAGUGAAUGACCUGUUGUAAUCAUUGAACGGGAAAUUUCUAGUUAGUUUAUGUUAGUGCAUUUGAAGUACAUUGAACUAAACCGUGGUAAGGAUGGGAGUGGGAUAGAGGUGUAUUAUGUAGCAUUACAUUACUUUAAAUUACUGUUUAUGAGUAAGGCUACAUACUAUACUCAUUCCGCUCUAGUCUCACUGGGCUAAUAAGCCAUUGUUGGUUAUUGUGGUGAUAAGUAAUAACAGCUUACUUGAAAAACUUAUGGGUCGCCCAAAUACUGUUUUAUAAGUAAUUCUACAUUGGUAUUGAUACCAAUGCAGAAUAAGGAAGAUAUUUGGACCAUACUGAUGGUAUGUAUUUGCUGCAAGUUAUUACUUUUUUUUUUUUUUUUUUAAAUUGUUUGGACCGUUACGAGACCUCUUUAUUAAUUUAUUUGUCUUCAUUGUUUGUAGAAUAAUUCUACAUCCCGCCUAAUCUACCGAUUGAUGAGAUUAGACGGGUAGCCUUCAUGAACUUUGGUAAAAAGAGAAAAGUUUUCAAGCAUCGGGUCAAAAGAUCUCUUAAAAUUAAGGAAGGUGAUACCCGUGAAAGCAUUAUUUAGACGGUGCCAAACAUCGAACAAUUCGACGCUAAGGACAUUGAAUGCAGCAUCAACACAUGGUUGACGCCGAAAAAUAAGGAUAGGGCAGAAAAUAACAGGCAAAUACGAAAGCUGCACGCAUUUCCACCCACCUCUGAGUUGAAGAGCUAUGCCAGAGUUGCCAAAAAGCUUAUGAGAGAAACACAGGGGUAGCACCAACCCGAGCAGUUGUUUUCGAGGUAACGCACACGAAAAAGGAUGGCACCGCGGUCAAUACGAGACCCAGGAAAAAAUUGACGAGAUGAAGGAGCUGAUGCCACAGGACACUACAACAACCUCGGUAUCGACACAUGGAUCGAUACGAUGGUCAGAAGAUGACGUGUGCGCGAGGGCAAUGGAGAGGCCAGAAUACUUCGGCUGUGUCUGAGGAACAGGACCUGGGCCUCUACCAGUCAGAUCCAACUGUCGCUCCUCUUGGUCAUCGGCACCACCCUCACAGGAUCCUAUACUACUACUGCAAAUUGGUGUAUUGAUGGCGCAGGUGGGUGCACAUCAAGAACGGAUUCUGGCACAAGAACAAUAGAUGGCCGUACUACAACAACAGAUGGAAGCACAACAACAUAUGGCCACACAACAGGAUAAGAUUUCAGUGAUGUGGCGGAUGCUUGAAGCUGUUAUGGUGAGUACAAGAACGAGCAACCCAUUUUCUGUGCCAGACAGUCUCCCAGUUGUGUGAGGUUGGGAUCAUCAGUUGCCAGUCGACCAGAUGUAGGUGAUCAGCCAUUAAGGUCUCAAGAAGAAGCUGCAGCUGAUGUAGUAGGCGAUCCCAUGCGUCAGGCUUCACAUAAUUCUUGUGGAUCACAACGUAUUUCAUCGUUAAGUGACGUUGUUGAGAAGUCAGAUUGGGGUUUGUAAGGCCGAAUGGUUUUUUUGUAAUGGUAUGUUAUUGCUAAUGAAACAACGCGACAAUUUCUUUCA